AGCGGAGUAGCGCAGUUCGGUUAGCGCCGGGCCCAUAACCCAUAAGCCGCGGGUUCGAAUCCCGCCUCCGCCA
Molecule: transfer RNA, 73 nt
Filed under: Cryptosporangium arvum DSM 44712
Lineage: Bacteria; Bacillati; Actinomycetota; Actinomycetes; Cryptosporangiales; Cryptosporangiaceae
Rfam family: tRNA
About the family: Transfer RNA (tRNA) molecules are approximately 80 nucleotides in length.
Source: Rfam by way of RNAcentral